CUGAAACGUGACUCCCUACCCCUCCCUCCAUCUUUGCUUCCUGAGGGCUCCCCCACCUGCAGUGGAUCCUGGCUCCCUGUGGGUCUUUAGUCUUUAUUAAACUGCUGGCUCUGAGGGGUUCUGCUGCCUGAGGCUAGCUUGCCCUCAGUAAGCAUGUUCUCUUUCUGAUUGUUGCUGUGUGUCAGGAGGCAGUUGGGGGUUUCUUGAAGCAAGGUUGCUAUCAGUUAGUAUUUGAAAAUAAACAGUAUAAGUUUGUACAUAGGUGGAUUAGCACUGAUACAUAUUAAUCAUAUAGGUAAAAGUUGUAUGGUAAUAGAACAUGUAGUUAAUAUUUAGGAG
RNAcentral lists this long non-coding RNA (339 nucleotides) under Bos taurus (domestic cattle). RNAcentral describes it as "long non-coding RNA NONBTAT009649". Lineage: Eukaryota; Metazoa; Chordata; Mammalia; Artiodactyla; Bovidae. The record is from RNAcentral.